AGCCCCUGCUCUGGGCUGGGGACAAUGUGAUCUCUAGGCUCCCUGAUGGGACAGAAGUCCUGUGCCUUGGCACACGGGCAGUGCCCAGGCUUUGACCCCUUCCUUGGGACUCCUGUGGUACGUUCCCAUUUAACUCAAGGCUCCUUGUGAUUGGACCAAGCAGUGUGUUCAUAAGACAGAAGGACCAAAGCUUGUGACAGCAGAGAUGGGCAGUGUCAAGGGGGCCUGAGGAUAGGGAAGGUUUUGUGUGGCCUGCUACCCUGAAAAUGGGGCCAGGUGCCUGAGGGUGUUGCCAGGACAGCACUCCUGACUGGCAGGGUCUGUCCAGACCUGUGGUCCCGCCCAACUUGCCCCAUCCUCUCACACAGGUGUUCCAGAGUGAGGUGGAGAAAAUCAUCCAGUGCUUGGUGUGCGGCCACGAGGAGCGCAUCCCAUCGGGAAGCAGGAUGCUGAUCCUGCCCCUGGCUUCCCACACCCAGCUCUGUGGCUUGGAGGGGGCUGGGCAGAAACCUGGCAAGCCAGCCAAUCCGGACACCGAGAUGCUGAGUUUCUCUCUAAUCCAGAAGUUUGAUGAUGAAGACAAUCGGUUCUUCUGUGAGCCCUGUCAUGCCAAGACUCCCGCCUCGGAGGAGACACGCUUCCUGCGGCUCCCGAAGGUCCUGAUUCUGCAAGUCAGGGAGCUGACGUUUGAAAAUGGGAGGUUUCACAAAAUUCAGAAGCCUAUCAACAUUGCCCAGGUGCUGAAACUGCACACCAGCCCCAGAGAACUGACAUUGCCUAAGUGUAAAGCUUCCCACAGUGGCACAAUCACCCCCAACCCGGAGCAGAGAGUCUACCACCUCUACGCCGUGUGCUGCCACUCGGGAGACUGCAGUGGGGGCCACUACACAGCUCUGGCCCAGCCCCCCGGCCAGGCGGAGUGGUUCCGCUUCAAUGACCAGCAGGUGCACUGUGUGGGGCCGGAAUUCCCUCUGCACCACACGUUCAGGCAGGAGCCAGAGGCACCUGGGCCUGACAAUGGGGAUAUGAGAACCAUGACAGAUGUAGCUGUUCCAAAGGAGAAGGUGCCUUGUCCAGGAGUGGAGGGAGAGACUCUCAAGACAGACUCUGCCACAGUCUGCUGGGGAGGACACAGCCAGAGCCUCUCUCUUCUCCAGGACGACGAGCCCAUCUGCCACAGACAGAGUCCUGCCAAGAAGUGCAGGAGGGACGUGGAGCCUGGCCUUGGGAACAAGGGCAGAGCCUCAGAGCAUGUGGAUGAGGAGGGCCCUAAAGCGCCUCCACCAGGGGAGCAGGGGGAGGCCCGAGGCCUGCCCUGUGGCCCCCAGUGUAGCCCCGAAGAGGAACUCCCUGCCAUGGGAAUGAGGAGCUCGGCAGCUGAAGACCAAGCCCUGUCCCACCCUGCGCAGGGCCUAGCACAGCCCGGAAAGACACGCCUCAGGAGCAAAGAUGGAGGAGCAGGGGCUGCCAGAGAAGGAGUCCGGCUCCUCGGAGACAGAGAAGCGGAAGCCAUGGCCACCAGAGAAAGAGGAGUGGAGAUUGCCAAAGAAGGGGGCCAGCUCCUCAGAGACGGGGGAUUGGAGGCUGUGGCCUCCAGAGAAGGAGGAGGGGAGGCCGUGGCUGCCAGAGAAGGGGGCUGGNNNNNNNNNNGUGGCCACCAGAGAAGGAGGAGCAGAGGCCGUGGCCACCAGAGAAGGAAGAGGGGAGGCUGUGGCCACCAGAGAAGGAGGAGCAGAGGCCAUCGCCACCAGAGAAGGCUGCCCCUCAGAGAUGGAGGAAGGGAGGUGCCAGGCUUCAAGCCCAGAGCAGAGACCUGGAGGCUUGAGAGGUGGGGAGAGCCUGAUGUGGCCACAGGCGAGGCAACAGCAGAAGGGUUGCUGGCCGCCGUCCUUGGGGGGGUGUCCACCUGGCCUCUGCCUCCCUCGGAGCAAGAUCAGCGGUGGGAAAGCCCCAGGGGAGAGACAGCCCUGGCAGUGCCACACCACACCAGGCUCAGCGCCCAGCCAGCGCCCAUGGAGGCUUUGGUCCCUGGAAAGAGAUGAAGAGUGACCGGAUGGCAUUCCCUCCCUGCCUCGGGAGUCCCCAGUCUAGAGUGCCAGGAUGGCAUUCACGCCCUGCCUCGGGAGUCCCCAGUCUAGAGUGCCAGGAUGGCAUUCACGCCCUGCCUCGGGAGUCCCCAGUCUAGAGUGACCGGAUGGCAUUCACGCCCUGCCUCAGGAGUCCCCAGUCUGUCCCAUCCCAGAGCCCUUCCCUGGCCCUUCCAGCCGGAGAGCACGACCCUGAAAGCAGAGGGUGUUUGGGGCUUGGAUUCCAGUUGGAUUCCGAGGGGGAAGCUCUGGGAGGAGCAG
Molecule: long non-coding RNA, 2348 nt
Organism: Piliocolobus tephrosceles (Ugandan red Colobus)
Lineage: Eukaryota; Metazoa; Chordata; Mammalia; Primates; Cercopithecidae
Source: Ensembl